Molecule: long non-coding RNA, 912 nt
Organism: Cyprinus carpio (common carp)
Lineage: Eukaryota; Metazoa; Chordata; Actinopteri; Cypriniformes; Cyprinidae
Source: Ensembl
AUUUCAGAGGCUGAAGUCAUCAAGGAGAAAGUAACACCAGUUUCUUUAAAGAAAGAAGUCAUCAAGGAGAAACCUAAACCAGCCCCUAAAAAGAAAGAGGCUGAAGUCCUCAAGGAAAAAGUUACACCUGUUUCUGUAAAGAAAGAAGUUAUCAAGGAGAAACCUAAACCAGCCCCUGAAAAGAAAGAGGCUGAAGUCAUCAAGGAGAAAGUUAAACCGGCUCCUGUAAAGAAAGAGGCUGAAGUCAUUAAAGAGAAACCCAAACCAGCUCCUGAGAAGAAAGAGGCUAAAGUCAUCAAGGAGAAAGUUAAGCCAGCUCCUGUAAAGAAAGAGCCUGAGGUUCAUAAAGAAAAGGCACCUGAACUAGUGCCAGAACCUACAAAGAAAGUUGAGGUUCCAAAGGAAAAGACAAAACCAGUUCUUAAAGAAAAGGAACCCACAAUCACCAAAGAAAAGCCAAAGCCAGCACCAAAGAAAGAAGCUGUAGCCAUCAAAGAAGCUAAAGCAGCCCCUGUGAAGGAAGAGGCUGAAAUUGUCAAAGAGAAAGCUAAACCAACCCCUGUGAAGAAAGAGGCUGAAAUCAUCAAGGAGAAAGCUAAACCAGCUCAUGAGAAGAAAGUGGCUGAAGUCUUCAAGGAGAAAGUUAAGCAAGCGCCUGUAAAGAAAAAACCUGAAGUCUCAAAAGAAAAGUUAUUAGAGCCAACACCUAAAAAAGGUGAGAACUUCCCACAUCUUUUACAAAAUGUACAAAAUACUGUGGUUGUUUUUUUUUGUUGUGUGUGUAUGUGUGUGUGUGUGUGUGUGUGUGUGUGUGUGUGUGUGUGUGUGUGUGUGUGUGUGUGUGUGUGUGUGUGUGUGUGUGUGUGUGUGUGUGUGUGUGUGUGUGUUUGUUUUUUUUUGAGCUACAACUAA